RNAcentral lists this ribosomal RNA (343 nucleotides) under Clostridioides difficile. Its description in RNAcentral is "bacterial SSU rRNA". It matches the Rfam family "Bacterial small subunit ribosomal RNA", at positions 435 to 795 of the family's 1533-position model. The record is from RNAcentral. Lineage: Bacteria; Bacillati; Bacillota; Clostridia; Peptostreptococcales; Peptostreptococcaceae.
AUCAGCAGGGAAGAAAAUGACGGUACCUGACUAAGAAGCCCCGGCUAACUACGUGCCAGCAGCCGCGGUAAUACGUAGGGGGCAAGCGUUAUCCGGAUUUACUGGGUGUAAAGGGAGCGUAGACGGCAGUGCAAGUCUGAAGUGAAAGCCCGGGGCUCAACCCCGGGACUGCUUUGGAAACUGUGCAGCUAGAGUGUCGGAGAGGCAAGCGGAAUUCCUAGUGUAGCGGUGAAAUGCGUAGAUAUUAGGAGGAACACCAGUGGCGAAGGCGGCUUGCUGGACGAUGACUGACGUUGAGGCUCGAAAGCGUGGGGAGCAAACAGGAUUAGAUACCCCUGUAGUC